AGAGUUUGAUCAUGGCUCAGAUUGAACGCUGGCGGCAUGCCUUACACAUGCAAGUCGAACGGCAGCAUGAUCUAGCUUGCUAGAUUGAUGGCGAGUGGCGAACGGGUGAGUAAUACAUCGGAACGUGCCCUGUAGUGGGGGAUAACUAGUCGAAAGAUUAGCUAAUACCGCAUACGACCUGAGGGUGAAAGUGGGGGACCGCAAGGCCUCAUGCUAUAGGAGCGGCCGAUGUCUGAUUAGCUAGUUGGUGAGGUAAAGGCUCACCAAGGCGACGAUCAGUAGCUGGUCUGAGAGGACGAUCAGCCACACUGGGACUGAGACACGGCCCAGACUCCUACGGGAGGCAGCAGUGGGGAAUUUUGGACAAUGGGCGAAAGCCUGAUCCAGCAAUGCCGCGUGUGUGAAGAAGGCCUUCGGGUUGUAAAGCACUUUUGUCCGGAAAGAAAUGGCUCUGGUUAAUACCUGGGGUCGAUGACGGUACCGGAAGAAUAAGGACCGGCUAACUACGUGCCAGCAGCCGCGGUAAUACGUAGGGUCCAAGCGUUAAUCGGAAUUACUGGGCGUAAAGCGUGCGCAGGCGGUUGUGCAAGACCGAUGUGAAGUCCCCGAGCUUAACUUGGGAAUUGCAUUGGUGACUGCACGGCUAGAGUGUGUCAGAGGGGGGUAGAAUUCCACGUGUAGCAGUGAAAUGCGUAGAGAUGUGGAGGAAUACCGAUGGCGAAGGCAGCCCCCUGGGAUAACACUGACGCUCAUGCACGAAAGCGUGGGGAGCAAACAGGAUUAGAUACCCUGCUAGUCCACGCCCUAAACGAUGUCAACUAGUUGUUGGGGAUUCAUUUCCUUAGUAACGUAGCUAACGCGUGAAGUUGACCGCCUGGGGAGUACGGUCGCAAGAUUAAAACUCAAAGGAAUUGACGG
RNAcentral lists this ribosomal RNA (918 nucleotides) under uncultured bacterium. RNAcentral describes it as "bacterial SSU rRNA". It matches the Rfam family "Bacterial small subunit ribosomal RNA", at positions 8 to 916 of the family's 1533-position model. The record is from RNAcentral.